CGCUGGCGAGCAGGGUUUGCGCGCGGGCCUCGCGGUCGCCGCGCGACACGCCGGA
Molecule: transfer RNA, 55 nt
Filed under: Cosmarium regnellii
Lineage: Eukaryota; Viridiplantae; Streptophyta; Zygnematophyceae; Desmidiales; Desmidiaceae
Description: tRNA-Cys
Source: RNAcentral